GAGGAGCUACCCUUUCUGGCAGGAGC
Molecule: non-coding RNA, 26 nt
Filed under: Homo sapiens (human)
Lineage: Eukaryota; Metazoa; Chordata; Mammalia; Primates; Hominidae
Source: RNAcentral